AACACAUGCAAGUCGAACGAGAUCUUCGGAUCUAGUGGCGCACGGGUGCGUAACACGUGGGAAUCUGCCCUUUGGUUCGGAAUAACUCAGGGAAACUUGAGCUAAUACCGGAUGAUGACGUAAGUCCAAAGAUUUAUCGCCAAAGGAUGAGCCCGCGUAGGAUUAGCUAGUUGGUAGGGUAAAGGCCUACCAAGGCGACGAUCCUUAGCUGGUCUGAGAGGAUGAUCAGCCACACUGGGACUGAGACACGGCCCAGACUCCUACGGGAGGCAGCAGUGGGGAAUAUUGGACAAUGGGGGAAACCCUGAUCCAGCAAUGCCGCGUGAGCGAUGAAGGCCUUAGGGUUGUAAAGCUCUUUUACCCGGGAUGAUAAUGACAGUACCGGGAGAAUAAGCCCCGGCUAACUCCGUGCCAGCAGCCGCGGUAAUACGGAGGGGGCUAGCGUUGUUCGGAAUUACUGGGCGUAAAGCGCACGUAGGCGGCUAUUCAAGUCAGGGGUGAAAGCCCGGGGCUCAACCCCGGAAUUGCCCUUGAAACUAGAUAGCUAGAAUCAUGGAGAGGUGAGUGGAAUUCCGAGUGUAGAGGUGAAAUUCGUAGAUAUUCGGAAGAACACCAGUGGCGAAGGCGGCUCACUGGACAUGUAUU
This 645-nucleotide ribosomal RNA is filed under the name uncultured Alphaproteobacteria bacterium. RNAcentral describes it as "bacterial SSU rRNA". It matches the Rfam family "Bacterial small subunit ribosomal RNA", at positions 50 to 741 of the family's 1533-position model. Lineage: Bacteria; Pseudomonadati; Pseudomonadota; Alphaproteobacteria. The record is from RNAcentral.